Molecule: long non-coding RNA, 2343 nt
Organism: Falco peregrinus (peregrine falcon)
Lineage: Eukaryota; Metazoa; Chordata; Aves; Falconiformes; Falconidae
Exons: 2
Source: RefSeq, a predicted model, not a curated record
UUGAUUCUAUUCACUCUUAAUCCCCUUUUAUUUGUUAUCUGUCCAUUUCAAUAAGCCGCUGCUUGCCAACGGCUCGUUCUCUCAAGGUUGUAUGCAGAUGUGUUGUGCUGUCUUUUUACAUCAGCAAAAAUGUCAGGUCGGCUGGUCCUUCCAAUUAUUCUCCUCCCCACCCCUGUGAGAUCUUACCAUGGGCGCUUGCUGCUUUCACUGCUUUUCUUCAGCCAGGAGACUGGGGCUGAUUUUUGAGAGUAAGAUUUCAUGAGAGCUUACACGAUAGUGCUUUGCUAAAAUCCAGAUGACUGAUAAGGACUAACCCCACAGCGUGCAGGUCAUACUGGAAUGAUGCUUUUAGUGUAAGAAAAUUAUCUAAAUAUGCAUUUUGAUUUUGGUGAUAUAGAUCUGAAAUGCUGAGCAAUCAAAUUUUCAGUGGCGUGGGGUGGCUGCAUCCCCACACUGCGAGGCUGUGCAAGGGGCUGCUGCUCUCCAGGGAGGAUGCAGGAGGGGAACAUUCCCUCUUCCCAUUUCCCAAGGGUCCUGGCUGCGCACCGUGGGCCUGGGGCGCCAGGGAUGGGGGAGUGGGGCAGAAUGGGUGGCCCAGGCUGUGGUAGCCUGGCUUGGCGUUGGGUGCCAGGGUUGCAGCUGAGGAGGUGCUGAGCUCCCACAGGAGCAGGGGGCAGUGCUGCACUGUCACCCAAAGCUGAGGCCGAGUGAAUCAGUGUUUCUGCUUUUCCACUUAAAGAGGAAACAAGAGUGACUUCCCUCUCCCUUGCUGUCAGCUCGCUGCUGCCUUGCUCUCCACCUGCUCUUGCUGCAUUGAAGCCUCUGGUGGUUUCCAGCAGGCACAAAGGUGCAGUUACUACCACAGAUCCCUGGGGACAUUGUGCCACAGCACCCCAGGCACCUGGGUGCUGUCUCCCACUCUCCAGUGACUCAGGGCUGCUCCCAAGGGUGGUCAGGGCAGGCCCAGGAACCAAGGAGCUCCCCAGACCCAGCAGCCUGGGGGAGCCAAGGGGUUCCCCUGGGAGACAUGCACCCUGCCUGCUGCAGUGCUCUGGGCCCAGAGACCCAGCACCAGAUCCUGCAGCACUGGUCCCAUCCCUGCAGCUUUACAGAGACGGUGAGAUGUCCCAGAGAAUAUUUUCCCUGUUGACAGCUCCAGAAACAGCAAAGCACUUCCUUGGGCUGGGCACCCAUGCAGGGGACACUGCAGGUGCUGAUGAGGGGACAGAGCAGCAUGGGUGCACAGGGCAGCGGGGGGAGCGGGGGGGCUACCAGCAUCCCCCAUGCUAUGGGAUGGUUCACUGCCACCAUCCCCAGAGCCAAGCAGGCAGCCCCUGGGACAAACUCAAAAUGCAUUAUUUCCAUCUCCUUGCCGCUGCCAAGAGGCCUCAAGUUUCUUUUCUGUGGUCGCUUGCACAGAGACAGGAUGGGCAAACUCAGCCAGCAGCCUCUGUGCUUGGGACAGGAGCUGGGCAGCUUUUGUGGAGGAGCUGAUGGGCUCCUGCCUCUCCCCACCAGGCAGCCAGGACUUUGACAUUGUCAGUACCCGGGUUUCUUCAGGGGACACUUGGCACUUCCAGCAGGGCAGCGGGGAUCUUUUGGGGACCUACAUUCAAAUUUCUGCAUUUGAAACCCCUUUUCUGUAGCUGUAAAACAACAUCUUCAUCAGGGCAGGAUGCAAAUACUCACAAGCACUCUUCCCCACGCUACCAGGCUGUCCCCAGUUCAGCCACCACUCCAGAGCCCAUGACGUGGCAAAGGCUGGGAUGUCCUUUCCAGUUCCCUGGGUGUUGCAGGACCCUGGGGCAAGGUGCCAUGGAGCAGAAGAAUGUGGCUGUGUGCCCCAGGCUGGGGCCAGGCAUGCAGCCAAGCCUCCCCCCUGCCAACACGUCCUACUGCGGCCGCAGCUCCUUGGGGCUUUGCCCAGAGAGGCACAAGGGGCAUCUGCAGCAAGACAUGGAGGCAGGAGAUCUUUUUGCUGUGCCAGGAUGUCUGUCCCGCGCAGGGACCUCACUGUCCAGGAAAGCUUUGCCAAACCUCCCCUCCAGUGCUGAGCCAGCGCUGGCUGCAUCAGCUGAACCCUCCUCCAAGACCUCGUAGAGCCUGGAACUGAAGGACUGUCUAGACGUCAUCCCACGCUCAUUAAACAUUCAUUUCCUAUAAUGAAAUAGCUUUUAAUUUAUUAACCGCUCCACUGUUCCUUAAGGUUCCCGCGCUCAGUGCAGCCUCACUGCAGGACACGCUCGUGGCCCCCACAGACAAUGCUUUCCAAAGGGAGCUGGAGGAGAUUGUUAGGGAGAAGAGGCACAAAGCACACAGCCCCCACCCCCACAGCAACUCAUC